Molecule: ribosomal RNA, 489 nt
Filed under: uncultured bacterium
Lineage: Bacteria
Description: partial 16S ribosomal RNA
Rfam family: Bacterial small subunit ribosomal RNA
Source: RNAcentral
UUGAACGCUGGCGGCAGGCUUAACACCUGCAAGUCGAGCGGUAGCACAGGGGAGCUUGCUCCCUGGGUGACGAGCGGCGGACGGGUGAGUAAUGUCUGGGAAACUGCCUGAUGGAGGGGGAUAACUACUGGAAACGGUAGCUAAUACCGCAUAACGUCGCAAGACCAAAGAGGGGGACCUUCGGGCCUCUUGCCAUCAGAUGUGCCCAGAUGGGAUUAGCUAGUAGGUGGGGUAAUGGCUCACCUAGGCGACGAUCCCUAGCUGGUCUGAGGGGAUGACCAGCCACACUGGAACUGAGACACGGUCCAGACUCCUACGGGAGGCAGCAGUGGGGAAUAUUGCACAAUGGGCGCAAGCCUGAUGCAGCCAUGCCGCGUGUGUGAAGAAGGCCUUCGGGUUGUAAAGCACUUUCAGCGAGGAGGAAGGUGGUGAGCUUAAUACGCUCAUCAAUUGACGUUACUCGCAGAAGAAGCACCGGCUAACUCCGUG